This 320-nucleotide unclassified non-coding RNA is filed under the name plant metagenome. RNAcentral's name for it is "partial contains 5.8S ribosomal RNA, internal transcribed spacer 2, and large subunit ribosomal RNA". The stretch from base 1 to 105 matches the Rfam family "5.8S ribosomal RNA", at positions 50 to 154 of the family's 154-position model. The record is from RNAcentral.
GAAAUGCGAUAAGUAAUGUGAAUUGCAGAAUUCAGUGAAUCAUCGAAUCUUUGAACGCACAUUGCGCCCGCCAGUAUUCUGGCGGGCAUGCCUGUUCGAGCGUCAUUACAACCCUCAGGCCCCCGGGCCUGGCGUUGGGGAUCGGCGGAAGCCCCCUGCGGGCACAACGCCGGCCCCAAAAUACAGUGGCGGUCCCGCCGCAGCUUCCAUUGCGUAGUAGCUAACACCUCGCAACUGGAGAGCGGCGCGGCCACGCCGUAAAACACCCAACUUCUGAAUGUUGACCUCGAAUCAGGUAGGAAUACCCGCUGAACUUAAGC